GAAAAUUUAUGUGAUAAAUUUGCAAAAUGCUGCAAAUAUUUUUCUCAGCAGAAGAUGUAACAAGAACAACCCUGUCUAACCAGCUAGAUUGAGAAUCUUGAAUCUCAUUAGCUGAGAAAAUAUCUAGAAUAGCCAACUUAAGUCCCUUCAAGGAAACAUCCUGGUGCCAAAACUUUUUGUGUCUGAGGGCAAAGUGCUUGGGAACUGUGAGCUUGAGAGAACACUCAGGCAUCCGUGUUCUGUUUAUUGAAUGUAUACAUGCAUUGAGAAUAGACUGCAGAGUGGAAAAUACAAUACAUUUACCCGAAAGAUAUUUGACUUCAGGACUGGUUUAAUUAAUGGAUUAUUGUCGACUGUGGAUCUAUCUCUACUUCUGUGGCUUUAAAUAACUAAUCAUACAAUGAGGAUCUGAUUCUUCUUAAUCAAAGGUAGACCUAGACAUUUUAAUUAAGUUUAUUUAAGCUGAAUCAGAGAUCUCUUUUUU
RNAcentral lists this long non-coding RNA (484 nucleotides) under Equus asinus (donkey). Its description in RNAcentral is "lncRNA (ENSEASG00005032975.1, ENSEASG00020020901.1)". The record is from RNAcentral. Lineage: Eukaryota; Metazoa; Chordata; Mammalia; Perissodactyla; Equidae.